GGUCGUGGCCAAGUGGUUAAGGCGAUGAACUAGAAAUCUUUUGGGAUCUUCCCGCGCAGGUUCGAUUCCUGCCGACAUCG
RNAcentral lists this transfer RNA (80 nucleotides) under Dreissena polymorpha. Its description in RNAcentral is "tRNA-Ser". It matches the Rfam family "tRNA". From Rfam's summary of the family: Transfer RNA (tRNA) molecules are approximately 80 nucleotides in length. Their secondary structure includes four short double-helical elements and three loops (D, anti-codon, and T loops). The record is from RNAcentral. Lineage: Eukaryota; Metazoa; Mollusca; Bivalvia; Myida; Dreissenidae.